Molecule: ribosomal RNA, 497 nt
Filed under: uncultured bacterium
Lineage: Bacteria
Description: partial 16S ribosomal RNA
Rfam family: Bacterial small subunit ribosomal RNA
Source: RNAcentral
GAUGAACGCUGGCGGCGUGCCUAAUACAUGCAAGUCGAGCGAACAGACGAGGAGAUUGCUCCUCUGACGUUAGCGGCGGACGGGUGAGUAACACGUGGAUAACCUACCUAUAAGACUGGGAUAACUUCGGGAAACCGGAGCUAAUACCGGAUCAUAUAUUGAACCGCAUGGUUCAAUAGUGAAAGACGGUUUUGCUGUCACUUAUAGAUGGAUCCGCGCCGCAUUAGCUAGUUGGUAAGGUAACGGCUUACCAAGGCAACGAUGCGUAGCCGACCUGAGAGGGUGAUCGGCCACACUGGAACUGAGACACGGUCCAGACUCCUACGGGAGGCAGCAGUAGGGAAUCUUCCGCAAUGGGCGAAAGCCUGACGGAGCAACGCCGCGUGAGUGAUGAAGGUCUUCGGAUCGUAAAACUCUGUUAUUAGGGAAGAACAAAUGUGUAAGUAACUAUGCACGUCUUGACGGUACCUAAUCAGAAAGCCACGGCUAACUACGUG